Molecule: ribosomal RNA, 440 nt
Filed under: uncultured bacterium
Lineage: Bacteria
Description: partial 16S ribosomal RNA
Rfam family: Bacterial small subunit ribosomal RNA
Source: RNAcentral
CCUACGGGCGGCAGCAGUGGGGGAUAUUGCACAAUGGGGGGAACCCUGAUGCAGCGACGCCGCGUGGGUGAAGGAGCGUUUCGGCGCGUAAAGCCCUAUCGGCAGGGAAGAAGAUGACGGUACCUGACCAAGAAGCCCCGGCUAACUACGUGCCAGCAGCCGCGGUAAUACGGAGGGGGCAAGCGUUAUCCGGAUUUACGGGGUGUAAAGGGGGCGCAGACGGCAAUGCAAGCCAGGAGGGAAAGCCCGGGGCCCAAACCCGGGACGGGCCUUGGAACUGAAUGGAUGGAGGACAGGAGGGGCAGGCGGAAUUCCGAGUGGAGGGGGGAAAUGCGUAGAUAUUAGGAGGAACACCGGUGGCGAAGGCGGCCUGCUGGACUGGGACUGACGGUGAGGCCCGAAGGCGUGGGGAGCAAACAGGAUUAGAUACCCCUGUAGUC